Molecule: non-coding RNA, 30 nt
Filed under: Mus musculus (house mouse)
Lineage: Eukaryota; Metazoa; Chordata; Mammalia; Rodentia; Muridae
Source: RNAcentral
UGGAUGCCUUUAUUUGCUCCCAUAAAAUGA